UCCAGUCAGUCAAUCUCCAUGUUCUUUUGGAGACUAUGUACCGGACCGAGAAGAUGUUUUAUUCAAAUAAGCAAACGCCCUUUUAAUAUGGGGGCUUACCUCACAUCAGGCUCUGCGGUAGCAGCAUGCAGUGGCAGUCUCCCAUUUUUAUCAGCAUUCUAAUAUUGAAGGAUCUUCACGAAUCACUGCAGUCAGUGUGUUGACGUCGCCAUUAGCAGCUGCUUGGUAAACCACAGUCAGGUCAAUUUCUUCUGCUGAAUCACCUAGAGACAGAUACAUUUAAACAUGUCACUAGAAGGUAACUGACAGAUUGAGAAAUUGUGUCAAAAAGGGGACUAAUACCGCAGUCAGGUAAUAUAUCACCCUUUUCAUCUCCUUUUGUAAGUUGUUUACAGUAUCAGCUUGUGGAUUUUUAUUGUACAUUGGGGGUCACAUUCUCAGAUGGAGUGAACAGACUGUGAUGGUGCAACACCAA
Molecule: long non-coding RNA, 475 nt
Organism: Mauremys mutica (yellowpond turtle)
Lineage: Eukaryota; Metazoa; Chordata; Testudines; Geoemydidae
Exons: 3
Source: RefSeq, a predicted model, not a curated record